RNAcentral lists this ribosomal RNA (253 nucleotides) under uncultured bacterium. Its description in RNAcentral is "partial 16S ribosomal RNA". It matches the Rfam family "Bacterial small subunit ribosomal RNA", at positions 524 to 776 of the family's 1533-position model. The record is from RNAcentral.
UACGAAGGGGGCUAGCGUUGCUCGGAAUCACUGGGCGUAAAGCGCACGUAGGCGGCUUUUUAAGUUAGAGGUGAAAGCCCAGGGCUUAACCCUGGAAUUGCCUUUAAGACUGCAUCGCUAGAAUCGUGGAGAGGUGAGUAGAAUUCCGAGUGUAGAGGUGAAAUUCGUAGAUAUUCGGAAGAACACCAGUGGCGAAGGCGACUCACUGGACACGUAUUGACGCUGAGGUGCGAAAGCGUGGGGAGCAAACAGG